This 400-nucleotide ribosomal RNA is filed under the name uncultured Caulobacteraceae bacterium. RNAcentral describes it as "bacterial SSU rRNA". It matches the Rfam family "Bacterial small subunit ribosomal RNA", at positions 355 to 774 of the family's 1533-position model. Lineage: Bacteria; Pseudomonadati; Pseudomonadota; Alphaproteobacteria; Caulobacterales; Caulobacteraceae. The record is from RNAcentral.
UGGGGAAUCUUGCGCAAUGGGCGAAAGCCUGACGCAGCCAUGCCGAGAGAAUGAUGAAGGUCUUAGGAUUGUAAAAUUCUUUCACCGGGGACGAUAAUACGGUACCCGGAGAAGAAGCCCCGGCCAAAUUCGUGCCAGCAGCCGCGGUAAUACGAAGGGGGCUAGCGUUGCUCGGAAUUACUGGGCGUAAAGGGCGCGUAGGCGGACAUUUAAGUCAGGGGUAAAUCCCAGAGCUCAACUAUGGAACUGCCUUUGAUACUGGGUGUCAUGAGUGUGAGACAGGUAAGAGGACCUCAGAGUGUAGAGGAAAAAUUCGUAGAUAUUCGGAAGAACACCAGAUGCGAAGGAGACACACUGGCUCAUUACGCACUCUGAGGCGACAAAGCGUGGGGAGCAAACA